Molecule: ribosomal RNA, 497 nt
Filed under: uncultured bacterium
Lineage: Bacteria
Description: partial 16S ribosomal RNA
Rfam family: Bacterial small subunit ribosomal RNA
Source: RNAcentral
GAUGAACGCUGGCGGCGUGCCUAAUACAUGCAAGUCGAGCGAACAGAUGAGGAGCUUGCUCCUCUGACGUUAGCGGCGGACGGGUGAGUAACACGUGGAUAACCUACCUAUAAGACUGGGAUAACUUCGGGAAACCGGAGCUAAUACCGGAUAAUAUAUUGAACCGCAUGGUUCAAUAGUGAAAGACGGUUUUGCUGUCACUUAUAGAUGGAUCCGCGCCGCAUUAGCUAGUUGGUAAGGUAACGGCUUACCAAGGCAACGAUGCGUAGCCGACCUGAGAGGGUGAUCGGCCACACUGGACCUGAGACACGGUCCAGACUCCUACGGGAGGCAGCAGUAGGGAAUCUUCCGCAAUGGGCGAAAGCCUGCCGGAGCAACGCCGCGUGAGUGAUGAAGGUCUUCGGAUCGUAAAACUCUGUUAUUAGGGAAGAACAAAUGUGUAAGUAACUAUGCACGUCUUGACGGUACCUAAUCAGAAAGCCACGGCUAACUACGUG